UCACGUAGCCUUCAUGUUAAAGGUGACAGCUCCUUGUGAGGAGAAGUCAUCUGGAACCUCUCGAGCCAUGAGGAGCCGCAGCCGCUUUGUUUAUUGAAUGUAAAUUCCCAACAGUAAUUGGAAGGAAAGUGGAACAUCCUGUCCGGUGACAGCCAGGAAGUCAGCUGACCUAAGACUGACCACUUACUCUGACACAUUAAGCCAUGCAAUUUACAGUGGGUCAGACCGGUAAUCACAUGACCCAGUUACACGAAUGAAGCGCAUGGAUGCAGCUGUGCUGGAAUAAAACAAACGGCGUUGUAGGACUGGUCAUGGAGCACGAUAUGAGGAAGAUGCAUUCAGAUAGAAACGGGGAAAAAACGACAGGAACGAGAUGUGUACGGCGGCCAUUGUGCAGAUAACUCUGUAGUCACCAUAGUGAGCUAAAUGCAGUUCACUCGAAUUUGGGUCAUGUAGCCGCAGUUCAUUCGUAUGAGGCUUAUUUGGCAACAUUUUUUUUGUAAACUUUCGAAAACAAAAUCCUGUCAAGGAAAAGUAGAUUGGCAGUCCGAAACUUAGUAGGGUCACGCAUCGCAAAUACUGUAAGCGGGAAACACACUGGGUAUUCUCCUAUGAGCAGACACACAGGGCAUUCUCCUAUGAGCAGACACACAGGG
Molecule: long non-coding RNA, 656 nt
Organism: Hyla sarda
Lineage: Eukaryota; Metazoa; Chordata; Amphibia; Anura; Hylidae
Exons: 3
Source: RefSeq, a predicted model, not a curated record